GCCCGGAUGGCGGAAUUGGUAGACGCAGUGGAUUCAAAAUCCACCGAUAGAAAUAUUGUGCCGGUUCGAGUCCGGCUCCGGGUACCA
Molecule: transfer RNA, 87 nt
Filed under: Pseudomonadales bacterium
Lineage: Bacteria; Pseudomonadati; Pseudomonadota; Gammaproteobacteria; Pseudomonadales
Also listed under: 1 other name
Description: tRNA-Leu
Rfam family: tRNA
About the family: Transfer RNA (tRNA) molecules are approximately 80 nucleotides in length.
Source: RNAcentral